CUGCCGGGCGGGGACGCUCGGUUUUCCGCGCCCCCACUUUCCUUUCACGGCCCAGUGGGAUGUGUAGUUCUUCCUCUCGCGCCGCUGCUCCAAGGGGAACCGCAACUAGGGGACCAAAAAACUACAAAUCCCUGCAUGCUCCGCGACGAGGGCGGGAGAGGCGCGGUAUUGAGUGUGCUGGUGCUCUGGGUUGGAGAUGGUAACCAACAAAGGGAACGGUGUGGACGGCUGCGCCUUUCCUGUGCUGGGGCACUUCCCGCGUGACACGCUUUCUUUAUCUAAUCUUCACGACAACCCUGCGAGGCACUGUUGUAUCCGGCCUGAGAGAACGCACAGCUACUUGCCAGAAGUCACGAAGCGCCGGGUGGUAGAGACGGGAUCGAACCCAGAGCCCUGAGAAUUUCCCUUCCUAAACACUGCCUAGGAUCUUAGUUCCCUGACCGAAGAUUGAACCAAGGAUUGAACCUGUUCUAUAGCAGUGAAAGCUCCAAGCUCCAGUGAAAGCUCCCACUGGACCACCAGGGGAUGCCCUAUUUUAAAGGGCCUGUCACUCUCCAGUCCUUCCUGAUCCAUCAACAUGAAAAAUGCAGAGUCUAAGACUGAACGAACUUCUCCUCCCCCUGUAUGUGGGUUGCUCCUCAUUUACAAGUACCUUCUCGGACGCCUCUCUUUGCCUUGUCUCCACUUCGUGUCAAGUCCUAUCAAUAAUUCCUUUGGAUUUUCCUUCAGUUGUCUCCUUUCUCCUUUCCACUGUGUCAGAGUUCAGAGCCAGGAGACAGAAACCACUCCAGUUAUCUUCGGCAGUCCAGGGGAUUCAAGGAGAUCCAACCAGUUCAUCCUAAAGGAGAUCAGUCCUGGGUGUUCAUUGGAAGGACUGAUGCUGAAGCUGAAACUCCAAUACUUUGGCCACCUCAUGCGAAGA
Cervus elaphus (red deer) is the source of this 922-nucleotide long non-coding RNA. RefSeq lists it as uncharacterized. The record is from RefSeq and is a predicted model, not a curated record. The transcript has 3 exons. NCBI's taxonomy places the organism in Eukaryota, Metazoa, Chordata, Mammalia, Artiodactyla, Cervidae.